AGCCAUGCAUGCCCGCUCACCCGGGACGCGGCGGACGGCUCAGGACAACGGUUGCACCCCCCGCGGCGGUCCCUGCUAGCCGGACACCGCUGGCAACCCGGCGCCAAGACGUGCGCGCAAGGGCGGGCGCCCGCGGGCGAGCAGCGUGACGCAGCGACGGCCCGCCCGGGCUUCCGGGGCAUCACCCGGUCGGCGCGGUCGCGGCGCGCCGAGGGCCCGACG
This 222-nucleotide ribosomal RNA is filed under the name Giardia duodenalis. RNAcentral describes it as "Giardia intestinalis partial small subunit ribosomal RNA". The record is from RNAcentral. Lineage: Eukaryota; Fornicata; Diplomonadida; Hexamitidae.